AUGGCUCCUGAUGUGCCACCAAACAGAGCAGAGAGGAGUGGAACGACUCACCUGGCUCCAUGUCUGCUUCAUCCCGAGCAGCAGCAAGGUUGUCCACUGGCCGUUCCUCCCUCCACAUCGGACGAGAGGAGGAGGACAUGGCAACCGGCGCCGUCGCCUAUGCCCGAAACCCUAGCCAUGGGGGGUGGGGGUCGCGGGUGGGCUUUGGUGGCUUCGAGCGUCGGAUCUAGCCGGAUGGGAGGGCGCCGCGGUGCGAGGAGAGCUCGGGUUGUGCUUCGCGGUGGCGGGAUUCGCCGAGCGUCGCCUGAAUCAGCCGUCGCCGGUGGCGCAGCGAGGAGCAGCGUGAAGAGAGAGAUGGGAGGCGAGAGGGAUGGGCGGGUAGGAGAUGCUACGGAUACUGCAGCCUCCGGAGCUGCGAGGUGGGUGGAGAGGAGGGGGAGGGCCGGCGGCGAGGUGGGUCGGAGAAGGAAGAGGAGGUGGUGGGUGGCGGUGAGGUGGGAGGGAUAA
RNAcentral lists this ribosomal RNA (507 nucleotides) under Triticum aestivum (bread wheat). Its description in RNAcentral is "partial small subunit ribosomal RNA". The record is from RNAcentral. Lineage: Eukaryota; Viridiplantae; Streptophyta; Magnoliopsida; Poales; Poaceae.